RNAcentral lists this ribosomal RNA (253 nucleotides) under uncultured bacterium. RNAcentral's name for it is "partial 16S ribosomal RNA". It matches the Rfam family "Bacterial small subunit ribosomal RNA", at positions 524 to 776 of the family's 1533-position model. The record is from RNAcentral.
UACAGAGGUCUCAAGCGUUGUUCGGAAUUAUUGGGCGUAAAGGGCGCGUAGGCGGUGCGGUAAGUCUGUAGUGAAAUCUCUGGGCUCAACCCAGAGUCUGCUGCAGAAACUGCCGUGCUUGAGUGUGGGAGAGGUGAGUGGAAUUCCCGGUGUAGCGGUGAAAUGCGUAGAUAUCAGGAGGAACACCUGUGGCGAAAGCGGCUCACUGGACCAUAACUGACGCUGAUGCACGAAAGCUAGGGGAGCAAACAGG